Molecule: ribosomal RNA, 271 nt
Filed under: uncultured bacterium
Lineage: Bacteria
Description: partial 16S ribosomal RNA
Rfam family: Bacterial small subunit ribosomal RNA
Source: RNAcentral
CCCGGCGACCGGCGCACGGGUGAGUAACACGUAUGAAACCUGCCCGUAGCAGGGGGAUAAGCGGAAGAAAUUCCGUCUAAUACCGCGUAACAACCCAUGGAGGCAUCUCUGUGGGUUUAAAGGGAGCGAUUCCGGCUACGGAUGGUCAUGCGUCGCAUUAGCUUGUUGGCGGGGUAACGGCCCACCAAGGCGACGAUGCGUAGGGGUUCUGAGAGGAAGGUCCCCCACACUGGUACUGAGACACGGACCAGACUCCUACGGGAGGCAGCAG